RNAcentral lists this ribosomal RNA (304 nucleotides) under uncultured organism. RNAcentral's name for it is "eukaryotic LSU rRNA". The stretch from base 247 to 304 matches the Rfam family "Eukaryotic large subunit ribosomal RNA", at positions 1 to 58 of the family's 3401-position model. The record is from RNAcentral.
UUUACACCCUCACCCCUCCCACUUUGUUGGGUUGCUUGGCAACUUUGCCAGCAUAGGUGGUGGAUCUGGCUUCCCCAAUCUGCCGUCUGGUAGAUUGGGUUGGCUGAAGAGUAGAGGUUUAAGCAAGGACCCGUUAUGGGCUUCAACUGGAUAGGUAGCACCGGCUUGUGCCGACUACACGAAGUUGAUGCUCGUGGAUCUUGCUAGAGGCCAAGCAGGAACGUGCCCAUGGCACGUCUAAACUUUCGACCUGAGCUCAGGCAAGGCUACCCGCUGAACUUAAGCAUAUCAAUAAGCGGAGGAA